This 73-nucleotide unclassified non-coding RNA is filed under the name soil metagenome. RNAcentral describes it as "partial internal transcribed spacer 1". The record is from RNAcentral.
GAAAUUUUUUAUGUAUUCAAAAUUUAAAUCUUUAUAAAAAAAUUUUUUAUUUAUAUAAAAUAAAAAAAAAAGA